GUCUACGGCCAUGCCACCCUGAACAAGCCUGAUCCCGUCUGAUCUCGGAAGCUAAGAGGUCGGACCUGGUUAGUACUUGGAUGAGAGACCACCUAGGAAGACCAGGUGCCGUAGGCA
RNAcentral lists this ribosomal RNA (117 nucleotides) under Pteropus alecto (black flying fox). Lineage: Eukaryota; Metazoa; Chordata; Mammalia; Chiroptera; Pteropodidae. The record is from RNAcentral.